AAAAAAAAAAAGUUAGCCGGCUUCUUUUAGUUUCACCAAAAGAGAUCAAUGCGGACAGCGACAUCAAAGUAUGGAAGUCCACCAUUGCCAAUCAUGAACAGCAGCAAGCCAUUGGAUUUGGAUAAAUUUUGAGAAACGACACCGGCAAUGAGGGAAUUCAUCCAUGGUGAGUAAUAUAUGGCGACGAGGGAAUACAGGUUAGGAAAGACGAAAGAAAACUCUUCCAUCCAUCCGCCUCCCACGACGGCAACGGCGAUGUAGAUGCAGGUGCGUGAAUGAACUACAUAAAUAUGCAGGAACUACUAUUGUUAAGCUCCUCAAAUAUCCUUCUCCUACUAAACAAGCGCAUGUCGUUAUGCUCUGAAUUACACUACCAAAAAGAGGUGUAUUAAAAGAUAGAACACAGACAUAGUAAAAUCAAUCCCAAAUUCUAUCUGAACUUACGGUGAUAGAGAUUGUGAUGAGAGUGCAUAGGUAAUGAAGACAUGACAACCACAAUUUUCAUAGGUUGAGUGGAGACCUUAGGAAGAAACUUCUGUUGAAUUGCAAUAUCGUAUUGAUGUUUGGGUUUUUUUUCUUUUAAUAUAUGCACCUUUUGAUUGAUCCAAUGGCUAAGAAUUGGUGAAGGAGAGGAUGCGGUUCCCUUGUCAAAAAAAAAAAAAA
Long non-coding RNA from Medicago truncatula (barrel medic), 663 nucleotides. RefSeq lists it as uncharacterized. The record is from RefSeq and is a predicted model, not a curated record. NCBI's taxonomy places the organism in Eukaryota, Viridiplantae, Streptophyta, Magnoliopsida, Fabales, Fabaceae. The transcript is spliced from 2 exons.